This 301-nucleotide ribosomal RNA is filed under the name uncultured bacterium. Its description in RNAcentral is "partial 16S ribosomal RNA". It matches the Rfam family "Bacterial small subunit ribosomal RNA", at positions 509 to 807 of the family's 1533-position model. The record is from RNAcentral.
CAGUAGCCGCGGUAACACGGAGGGAGCUAGCGUUGUUCGGAAUUACUGGGCGUAAAGCGCGCGUAGGCGGUUACUCAAGUCAGAGGUGAAAGCCCGGGGCUCAACCCCGGAACUGCCUUUGAAACUAGGUGACUAGAAUCUUGGAGAGGUCAGUGGAAUUCCGAGUGUAGAGGUGAAAUUCGUAGAUAUUCGGAAGAACACCAGUGGCGAAGGCGACUGACUGGACAAGUAUUGACGCUGAGGUGCGAAAGCGUGGGGAGCAAACAGGAUUAGAUACCCGCGUAGUCCCUGUCUCUUAUAC